This 343-nucleotide long non-coding RNA is filed under the name Panax ginseng (ginseng). RNAcentral describes it as "long non-coding RNA (PGIN_LNC014057)". Lineage: Eukaryota; Viridiplantae; Streptophyta; Magnoliopsida; Apiales; Araliaceae. The record is from RNAcentral.
UCCUUUUCUUUUUCCUAUUUCUCUCUUUUUCUCUUUUUCUCUCGCCUCUUCCUCCGUUUCACUCUCACUUUCCUCCGACGAAUACUCUGAACUCCCCGACUCCGAAGUGGAAUACUCAUCAGAGGAGGAAAUCGAAUCAUCAUCGUCGCUAUACUUUCUUUGUGAUCUGUUCUUGGAGCUUCAACUUCUCUUCCUCGAGCUUCUACUGUUGUGCUUGCUUCCGUCAUCGGAUUUGGGAUCCUGAUUCGGAUUGAAAUUCAUAAUUAUCAUCAACAAUAUUUAUUUGAGAUUUGAGGGUUUCUGAAUGUUCAAUCGAUGAUGAACAAUGUUUAAUUAAUUGGUG